GUGGCACUUGUGGGGCAGGAGUUGGAUGAUGUGGAGCCGGAAAUGGUAUUUGUAGGGCACAGGUGGAUGUUGUGGGGCAGGAUUUGGCACUUAUGGGGCUGGAGGUUACACUUGUGGGGCAGGAGGUGGAACUUGUGGGGCAGGAGAUGGCACUUCUGGGCAGGAGGUGGAAGUUGUGGGGCAGGAUUUGGUACUUGUGGGGUGGGAGAUGGCACUUGUGGGGCUGGAGGUGGCACUUGUGGGAUGGUAGGUGGAACUUGUGGGGCAAGACUUGGAACUUGUGGUGCAGGAGAUAUCACACGUUGGGCAGGAGUUGGCACUUCUGUGGCGGGAGGCUGAAGUUGUGGGGUGGGAGGUGGCACUUGUUGGGCAGGAAGUGGCACUUGUGGGGUGGGAUUUUUCACUUGUUUGUCAUGUGGCCACAAUUGUUGGGCGGGAGGUGGCACUUGUGGGGCAGGAGGUGGGAUGAUGAGGGGCAGGAGCUGGCACUUGUGAAGCAUGAGCUGCACUUGUGGGGCAGGAAUUGGCACUUGUGGGGCAGGAGGGUGGCACUUGUUGGGUGGGAGGUGGAUGAUGUGGGGCAGGAGGUGGCACUUGUGGAGCAGGAUGUGGAAGUUGCGUGGCAGGAUUUGGCACUUGUGGGGUGGGAGGUGGAACUUGUGGGGCAUGAGGUGGAAUUUGUGGGGUGGUAGGUUGCACUUGUGGGGCAGGAGUGGCACUUGUGGGGAGGGAUGUGGCACUUGUGGGGGCCAGGAGUUGGCACUUGUGGGGCUGGAGGUGGCACUUGUGGGGCAGGAGGUGGAUGAUGUGGGGCAGGAGUUGGCACUUGUGGAGCAGGAGGUAAAAGUUGCGGGGCAGGAUUUGGCACUUGUGGGGCAGGAUGUGGCACACGUUGGGCAGGAGUUGGCACUUGUAUGGCGGGAUGUUGAAGUUGUGGGGCGGGAGGUGGCAUUUGUGGGGCUGGAACUGGCUCUUGUGGGCCGUGAGGUGGAAGUUGUGGGGCAGGAAAUGGCACUUGUGGGGGGUCAGGAGGUGGCACUUGUUGGGCAGGAGGUGGAACUUAUGGGGUGUGACGUGGAAGUUGUGGGGCGGGAGGUGGCACCUGUGGAAAUGGAGAUGGCACUAGUGGGGCAGGUAGUGGCACUUGUGGGGCGGGAUAUGGAACUUAUGGGGCAGGAGUUGACACUUUUGGGGGCAGGAGGUGGAAGUUGUGGGGCUGGACGUGGCACUUGUGGGGCGGGAGUUGGCAAUUUUGGGGGAGGGUGGUGGCACUUGUUGGGCAGGAGGUGGCACUUGUGGGGCAGGAGGUGGCACUUGUGGGGCAGGAGGUGGUCCUUGUGGGACGAGAGGUGGCACUUGUUGGGCAGGAGGUGGAACUUAUGGGGCGUUACGUGGAAGUUGUGGGGGCGGGAGGUGGCUCUUUUGAGGGCAGGGAGGUGGAACUUGUGAGCCAGGAGAGCUGAGAAGGUUNNNNNNNNNNNNNNNNNNNNNNNNNUUUCCUUCCUUUCCUUCCUUUCCUUCCUUUCCUUCCUUUCCUUCCUUUCCUUCCUUUCCUUCCUUUCCUUCCUUUCCUUCCUUUCCUUCCUUCCUUCCUUUCCUUCCUUCCUUCCUUCCUUCUUUUUUUAUAAUAAAAGAAACCAACUAUAUCCA
RNAcentral lists this long non-coding RNA (1650 nucleotides) under Coturnix japonica (Japanese quail). RNAcentral's name for it is "lncRNA (ENSCJPG00005020638.1)". The record is from RNAcentral. Lineage: Eukaryota; Metazoa; Chordata; Aves; Galliformes; Phasianidae.